GAUGAACGCUGGCGGCGUGCCUAAUACAUGCAAGUCGAGCGAACAGAUGAGGAGCUUGCUCCUCUGACGUUAGCGGCGGACGGGUGAGUAACACGUGGAUAACCUACCUAUAAGACUGGGAUAACUUCGGGAAACCGGAGCUAAUACCGGAUAAUAUAUUGAACUGCAUGGUUCAAUAGUGAAAGACGGUUUUGCUGUCACUUAUAGAUGGAUCCGCGCCGCAUUAGCUAGUUGGUAAGGUAACGGCUUACCAAGGCAACGAUGCGUAGCCGACCUGAGAGGGUGAUCGGCCACACUGGAACUGAGACACGGUCCAGACUCCUACGGGAGGCAGCAGUAGGGAAUCUUCCGCAAUGGGCGAAAGCCUGACGGAGCAACGCCGCGUGAGUGAUGAAGGUCUUCGGAUCGUAAAACUCUGUUAUUAGGGAAGAACAAAUGUGUAAGUAACUAUGCACGUCUUGACGGUACCUAAUCAGAAAGCCACGGCUAACUACGU
RNAcentral lists this ribosomal RNA (496 nucleotides) under uncultured bacterium. RNAcentral's name for it is "partial 16S ribosomal RNA". It matches the Rfam family "Bacterial small subunit ribosomal RNA", at positions 28 to 506 of the family's 1533-position model. The record is from RNAcentral.